This 69-nucleotide transfer RNA is filed under the name Pseudovates peruviana. RNAcentral describes it as "tRNA-Ile". Lineage: Eukaryota; Metazoa; Arthropoda; Insecta; Mantodea; Mantidae. The record is from RNAcentral.
GGUAAAAUGCCUGAUUUUUAAAAGGAUUAUUGUGAUACGAUGAAUUAUGUAAUUUUAUUACUUUUACCA